GAUGAACGCUGGCGGCGUGCUUAACACAUGCAAGUCGAACGGUGAAGGCGGAGCUUGCUCUGCUGGAUCAGUGGCGAACGGGUGAGUAACACGUGAGCAAUCUGCCCCUGACUCUGGGAUAAGCGCUGGAAACGGCGUCUAAUACUGGAUACGAGCUGCGAAGGCAUCUUCAGCAGCUAGAAAGAACUUCGGUCAGGGAUGAGCUCGCGGCCUAUCAGCUUGUUGGUGAGGUAACGGCUCACCAAGGCGUCGACGGGUAGCCGGCCUGAGAGGGUGACCGGCCACACUGGGACUGAGACACGGCCCAGACUCCUACGGGAGGCAGCAGUGGGGAAUAUUGCACAAUGGGCGAAAGCCUGAUGCAGCAACGCCGCGUGAGGGACGACGGCCUUCGGGUUGUAAACCUCUUUUAGCAGGGAAGAAGCGAAAGUGACGGUACCUGCAGAAAAAGCGCCGGCUAACUACGUG
This 468-nucleotide ribosomal RNA is filed under the name uncultured bacterium. Its description in RNAcentral is "partial 16S ribosomal RNA". It matches the Rfam family "Bacterial small subunit ribosomal RNA", at positions 28 to 507 of the family's 1533-position model. The record is from RNAcentral.